RNAcentral lists this long non-coding RNA (1471 nucleotides) under Sus scrofa (pig). Its description in RNAcentral is "lncRNA (ENSSSCG00025004236.1)". Lineage: Eukaryota; Metazoa; Chordata; Mammalia; Artiodactyla; Suidae. The record is from RNAcentral.
AUGAGAUCUGCCCUCCUCCCGCUUCUGCUUGCCGAACCAGCACUAAGCAGGAGUCCCCAAGCUGCUCCAACACUCCCUGCGAUUCGCUGUCCCGGACUUUCUCCUGCCUCACCCCGGAUCCGGUGUUCAACUCGCGGAGCUGUCCUUUGCCAGUCAUUCGUUGAGGCUGACUCCCCAAGCGGCAGGCAGCAUCCCUCCGCCCUCACACCCAUCCUGGGCUGCGGCGUUGGGAGUGGGAACCCGAGGCGGUCUCUUUCCACCAGACUUAACCCGCCCGCAGCAAUAGCCAUGGAAGUUGUGGCGACGCAGGAGAGGGAACCGCUUGGCGCGGCAUCUUUUUUGGAUGUUUCUUCUCUACCCAGAUCACUUCAUUCCUCCUUCUUGGGCCUUCUAGCAGAGGGAAGCCAAGUGUGGAGAUGGAGUUCCAGAGAAGGUGGCUCUGAAGCACUUGGGGAACCUACACCUGCCUAAAGGUUGGAGGAAUCAGAAUAGUGCCAUCAGAUUGGUACCAAUUUUGCCUGAAUGAGGUCUGCAGAAAAUUCCCUGGCAGCUUAUAGGGUCAGUGACAAAGCACUUACCAACCCUUCCCACAGAUAACAAUGAACCUCUGUGGAUCUUGCCCUGGGACUCAGAAACCUGGGCAGUGGGGGAUGGAUGAUGUGAAAGAUGCUGCUGAUACAAGGCUCCCCCCAAAGCCUUAGGGUGUGCCAUAGAAAGCAGGCUUGGGAAAAAGCUGGAUAGACUCUUCCUCUUUCUUCUCUCUCUCUCUCUCUCUCUCUCUCUUUUUUUUUUGGCAUUUCUUGGGCCGCUCCCGUGGCAUAUGGAGGUUCCCAGGCUAGGGGUUGAAUCGGAGCUGUAGCCACUGGCCUACGCCAGAGCCACAGCAACGCAGGAUCCGAGCCACGUCUGCAACCUACACCACAGCUCACGGCAACGCCGGAUCCUUAACCCACUGAGCAAGGCCGGGGAGCGAACCCACAACCUCAUGGUUCUUAGUCGGAUUCGUUAACCACUGCACCACGACGGGAACUCCUCUUCCUCUUUCUUAAGGCAAUGAUGAUCUAACCUAACCUUGCACUAGAUGGUAAGCUCCAUGAAGGCAAAGUCCAGGUCAAAACUUGUUUAUUUGUUUGGUGUUUUUUCCAUAUUGUCAGUAAUGGCAUAUAGAAGGAGCUCAAGACAUAAGUAAAAUUAACAGCUAAUGGACAGUAACUUAAACUACUUCCUGUCCAACACUGCUUCCUGCAAUUCAUUCCUUCAUUUAGCAAGCAUUUCUUGAGCAUCUACUCUGGGCAAGUCUCUGUCGCUAGGCAUCUGAAGCAAUUUAUAAACAUUAUUUAUAGUGGUACUUCGAGUAGCUCAUUCAAAAGCAUCUCAGGACCACCAGGUUCUUCUGGAGACCGAGGUCGCAGCGCAAGCCCGUUCGUGGAUUCAGGCCCAGGCAGUAAGAGCCGAGGGAAAGGGGAAAUGC